Molecule: ribosomal RNA, 164 nt
Filed under: Oxossia capitata
Lineage: Eukaryota; Viridiplantae; Streptophyta; Magnoliopsida; Malpighiales; Passifloraceae
Description: 5.8S ribosomal RNA
Rfam family: 5.8S ribosomal RNA
About the family: 5.8S ribosomal RNA (5.8S rRNA) is a component of the large subunit of the eukaryotic ribosome. It is transcribed by RNA polymerase I as part of the 45S precursor that also contains 18S and 28S rRNA.
Source: RNAcentral
AAAACGACUCUCGGCAACGGAUAUCUCGGCUCUCGCAUCGAUGAAGAACGUAGCGAAAUGCGAUACUUGGUGUGAAUUGCAGAAUCCCGUGAACCAUCGAGUCUUUGAACGCAAGUUGCGCCCAAAGCCUUUAGGCCGAGGGCACGCCUGCCUGGGUGUCAUGC